GUCACUUCUUGGCCUUUUGGCUAAGAUCAAGUGUAGUAUCUGUUCUUAUCAGUUUAAUAUCUGCUAUGCAUCUUUACCCCAUUGUGUCCUUUGAAAUGCCAAGAACUCUGAAGUUGUUUAAUAAAAAUCGCUUUGAUUGAUUUUCAUCUUUGCAGCCAAGUAGGGGGGACAGGUGCCAUUUCCUCUGACUUUAA
This is a small nuclear RNA of Papio anubis (olive baboon), 194 nucleotides long. Its record names the gene U2. It matches the Rfam family "U2 spliceosomal RNA". Rfam says of the family: U2 is a small nuclear RNA (snRNA) component of the spliceosome (involved in pre-mRNA splicing). Complementary binding between U2 snRNA (in an area lying towards the 5' end but 3' to hairpin I) and the branchpoint sequence (BPS) of the intron results the bulging out of an unpaired adenosine, on the BPS, which initiates a nucleophilic attack at the intronic 5' splice site, thus starting the first of two transesterification reactions that mediate splicing. NCBI's taxonomy places the organism in Eukaryota, Metazoa, Chordata, Mammalia, Primates, Cercopithecidae. The record is from Ensembl.